RNAcentral lists this transfer RNA (73 nucleotides) under Bos taurus (domestic cattle). It matches the Rfam family "tRNA". From Rfam's summary of the family: Transfer RNA (tRNA) molecules are approximately 80 nucleotides in length. Their secondary structure includes four short double-helical elements and three loops (D, anti-codon, and T loops). Lineage: Eukaryota; Metazoa; Chordata; Mammalia; Artiodactyla; Bovidae. RNAcentral also lists the same sequence under 4 other names. The record is from Rfam by way of RNAcentral.
UCCCUGGUGGUCCAGUGGCUAAGACUCCUCAUUCUGAAUGCAGGAGGCCCAGGUAUGAUUCCUGGUCAGGGAA